Molecule: long non-coding RNA, 6560 nt
Filed under: Sus scrofa (pig)
Lineage: Eukaryota; Metazoa; Chordata; Mammalia; Artiodactyla; Suidae
Description: lncRNA (ENSSSCG00015041042.1)
Source: RNAcentral
UUUUUUUUUUUGUAUUUUUCUAUCUUAAACGCAAUCCCAUUAUCUGCCCAAAGAUAUUUGAAAAAUAAAUGAAUGAAUGGAAUGCCUGUCAUAGUGUCACUGCUGACUCCCAGGAGCUCUGUGCUUUGUCCCAGCUGGGUCUUUCCUCCCUGGUGGUUUUCAAAAACUAUCUCCUAUUGCUAACUUUUCGCUGACCAGGUAAGGAUGGAGUUCUCCCAUCUGCUUGCCUGCACCUCACAAUUUUUAGAGACCUUUCAUAUAUAGUAUGUUCUUUCAUUUCUAUUUAUAACAAGUCAGGCUUCAGUUCGCUAUUUUGAAACCCAUCAAUGCAGGCUAACCUUUCAAAACUGAAUGUAUCUCCCUAUUUUCUAUUAAGUUGAGUGUAGUGUGCCUGGGUGAAGGAGAAGGAUGAUAAAAAAGUUUCACAGAACAAAACAAAUUGAAAGAAACUGCGGCCAUCAUUUCACCGAACUUUCCACUUCCUUGCUGAUGGUCACUGAGCCUUGACAAAGGGGUUUCUAGAGUUGGAAGAAUCACAGGUGCCAAUUGUUUAUGGCAAACAUCUGGCCUCACAGUGGAAAGUCAGUAGAUUCAAAGCGAGGUCUAAACUGAAUGGGGUUUGGGGUUCCCUAAUGGCUCAGCAGGUUGUGGAUCCAAUGCUGUCACUGCUGUGGCUCUGGUUACUAUUGUGGUUCGACCCCUGGCCUGGGAACUUCCACAUGCCCCUGGUGCAGCCAAAAAAACCAAAAGAACAAAUGAAUAGAAAUGAACAGAACAGGGAGUUCCUGUUGUGGCUCAACAGAAACGAAACUGACUAGUAUCCAUGAGGAUGCAGGUUCGAUCUCUGGCUUAGAUCAGUGGGUUAAGGAGCUGUGGUGUUGGUUGAAGAUGUGGCUUGGAUCCCACUUUGCUGUGGCUGUGAUGUAGGCUGGCAGCUGUAGCUCUAUUAAACCUCUAGCCUCGGAACUUCCAUAUGCUGCAGGUAUGGCCCUAAAAAGCAAAUAAAUAAAUAAAUAAACAGAAUAGUGGUACACAAUGUACAGGAAUUUCUGUGUGUUUGACCUAUGCUACUAGGCCAGUGAAACAACAUGCCCCCUGGGGACAGACCAAGUGUAAGGUGGGGCUCUGCCAGAUGACUCCCUGUGGUGCCACCUUGGGCUAAAUUCUCAGCGUCUUGAUUGCUUUAUCCAGGGCAAAGGGAAAAUUAGCUCUCUAGCUCAUAGGUUUUUAGGGGAUUGGAUGUGGUGACAUUUAUUGGUACCAUUUGAUGUCCCCAAAGUGUCAUUGAGUAUUAUUAUUAUGAUCAUUAUUUUUAUAGCUCACUGUAACAUUAACCAUCAAUUUCCAUAGACCCAUUUCUUUCUUGAUUACCAAAAUGUUUAUUGCUUUUGUUGAUACUUUACUUUGCAUUUCUGAAUGGUUUUAGAAUUGAGCGUGAGUCCAGCUAGGUAAUUUGCCAGGUAAGAAGAGUUAUUCUCAGUUGCUAUUCAAUUGUGCUCAGCAGUGGAAGAACUGAUUUCUGGUCUCUAUAAAGUUAAAGGAUAGAUGGGCCUACAUAAUCUUAGUUAGAUAAACCUUUCUCCAAAAUUCAACUUUGAAAUUAGCUGUGUAUAUAUCCAGCCACCUAUGGCCCCUCAGGGUCAUCAAAUAAAGAACAAAAGCAUAGAUAAAGCAGGACCCACUUCCUCCUUUAUUUUGCACUUGGUCUUACUAAAAUAAAAAUAAAACAGGCAUGUGUUCCUCCCUGAAGACUCCAGUCUUUUCUGCCCCCAAGAGAAUUUUCAGAAACUUUACUUGUUAGGUUAAAAUGCUUCAACCUAGGAUAGUAAUUUCCUAGUUUUCUGAUUAAAAGUUAUCUUUCAAAAAAUUCUACCUCCUAGCUAUUUAACCUUCUCACCUGCUAGACUUAGUCUAGCCUUUUUUUUCCUCUUUCUGAGAUGGCAUGGGGACCUGAUAACUCCCCUUUCCUCCUACAGAUCCCUAGUACUUUCUGUUUAAUCUGCAGAUGUGAAGGCACAGAGAGCUGGCUGUACGCAGGGUCCCCUCUGGCCUCUCUCCUCUCCCUCUUCCUAUUUAUCUCAAGCUUCAUCAGUCUUGCUUAAAAAUAAUAGGCUCUGGGAGUUACCUGUGCUGGUUAAAGACCAGUCUUGUCACUGUAGCAACUCAGGUCACUGCUGUGUCAUGGGUUUGAUUCCAGGCCAAAUGCAGUGGCUUAAAGGAUCUGGCAUUACUGCAGCUGUGGGGUGGGUCACAGUUGUGGCUUAGAUUCAGUCUCUGGCCUGGGACCUUCCAUGUGCCACAGAUGUAGCCAAAGUAAUAAUAAGAAUAAAAUAAAAAUAGGAGUUCUCAUUGUGGCUCAGCAGUUAGCGAACCUAACUAGUAUCCAUGACGAUGCGGGUUUGAUCCCUGGCCUUGCUCAGUGGGUUAAGUAUCUGGCGUUGCUGUGAGCUGUGUGUAGGUCACAGACACGGCUUGGUUCCCACGUUUUUGUGGCUGUGAUAUAGGCUGGCAGCUGUAUCUCUGAUUUGACCCCUAGCCUGUUAACCUCCAUAUGCAGCAGGAGUGGCCCUAAAAAGCCAAAAAUAAAUAAAUAAAUAAAUAAAUAAAUAAAAUACCUUUUUAUUUUUAAUGUUAUUAUCUGAAAAAAAUAAAUGUAUGUAAAUUGCCAUUGGUUUCACUGCCUCCCCCUGCUUUUUUUAACUGUAGUCAUGAAAGAUAACUUGAGUUCUAGGAAUUUACUACUGCGCUCUCUCUGGUACUUGUAUUAUUUCUCCCAAGUCACAUUUUCCUGAAAGUUCCAUGAUCAGUCCAUGGACAUCAGGUGUGUGGAGCUUCAAAGUUCCCACCUACUUUGUAAGACACACACACACACACACACACACACUUACACACUUCUGGGGGCUUACAUUGUCUUCCAAAGCUCCUUCUCCUGAGAAGGUCAUGUCUGUAGUCAAACUCUUUGCAAGAUGAACAGUACUGGGCUGGUUUUGAGUCUCAUUCAUUGAACUCCACUCUGCAUCAGUGCUGUGAACCUAAACACUGAGCAUACAAGGACUGAGCACUCAGUCCUCAUGUCAGACAAAACUAACGUUCAGACUUCUGCCUUGAUCCAUCAGUGCUCAGUGGAGACACUAUAAUGGAGCAGGGCCCUGUGGGGCUCCUGGGCUCACAAGCCUUUCUGUGUCCUCCCAUUUGUUGUUUUUAGGGAAUAAGCUUCAGCCUCCAUGACCUUUCCAGAGUUCCAAAGGGCAGGUGCUAAUCAGAGAAGGGAGAGGGAUGCAGAAACAAGGGAGGAGUAGUCAAGAGACAACAGUGCAGCUGUGGGGAAAGUCCUGGUUCCUCCUUGGGGAAUAUAUAUAACAGUACUUUUGAGCCUUUCUGCAGAAUUAAAACCCCCAACAAUUGGAAGAACUACUUACUGAAGAAGGAAGACCACUAGAACCAGUCCUGAAGGUAGUAAACACCAGCUUUGAAAGACAAUGCAAGCUUGCCUCUACCCUGAUCCAUACCUACAGCCCUAUUUUCCACUCCCCAAACUAUAAAACCACCUCCUAAUCUCUCCCAAGGUGGGGCACAGUCUUUAAGGCAUUAGCCUGCUGUGACCUGCUUUGCGUGGUGAAGAAAUAGAGCUAUCUUUCUCCUUCACCCAAAACUCUGUUUCCAUGUUUCUACUUGGCAACAGAGGACAGAGGCCGAGUUUCAGCAACAACACUUGCAGGCUUGCUCUUGUGCCCGAGACACACUCUGGGUCAGCGACACAUUCCCAGCAUGACACUCAUGCUGGGAACCCUGUGUCUGACUUCCCUGAUCUCCAGUCUGCUGCUUACAUCCAGUUAACCACACCUGUUAGACCAUGAGCAGCACCUUCUGGCCCUGGAAUAAACUUGACCUUUUGAGCUCAACCCAUUUAGUAUCAAUCCUUGAUCUCCCUCCAUUACCUUCCCUUAUGAGGCCUGAAUUAGAUCCUUUCCUAGGACCUCACUCCUCAAGGACAUGAGCUUAGGCUCUCACAGUCUUGGAUGGCUCACUUCUGCCUGACACUUAGCUUUGGCACUGCACUUCUUUCUCCUUGGAUGACACCCUUGAUGGCUUGAUGAACAGAGCUACUCCAAGUCUUUCAACACUGUUCAUGAUCUGCUCACUUCAGGGACCAUGGUUCACUUGGAAACUGUGAUGUUUACUUCAUUAAUCAUGUUCUAAUCUUAAAGAAAUCAGUUUGGUUAAAUGACUCUAACAUCAUAGCUACCAACAAGUAGAGAAAUGGGUGACCCCAGUAACGGGUCUUCUUUAACUUAGACAUUUUGCAAUUUUGAGAAACCAACUCAUUGAACAUUUUUGAAUACAGUUUUACAUAUUUAAGUAGAUAAUUCAGGAGAAUUCAGCUCAAGACUUCCACCUCAAAUAAAUGAACCAGAAAUAAAAGUAACACUUUAGAUAUUUGGGGAGAGGUGAGCCUGUGCCCUGGGGUGAGCCAGCUCCUUGUUCUGAGGUAUAGCUGAAGAAACAGAAGUAUGCCCCAUGCCAGAAAUGAAUCAGUGUGAGUUUGAAACCAAGCAGGACCCAGUGGGGCUCCUGGGCAUGGAAGUCUUUCUGUGGCCACUCCCUUACACCGCUACAUUUCUUUCCUGUAGGGAAUAGGCCACAGCCUCCUUGACCUUCCCUUUGAGCUCCAAAGGGCAGGUUCAAACAGGUACUAAUCAGGGAAGGGAGGGGAUGCAGAGACCUGGGAGGAGCAGUCAAGAGACAAUAGUGCAGCCUUGGGGCAGGUCCUGGUUUCCCCUCAGGGGAUACACAUAACAAUACCUUUGACUCUUCUACAAAACUAAAACCCCCACCAAAUGGAAGGUUUUAACUACUUGAUGUAGUAGUCUUCAUCCCAGGAAGAAGGAGGACCACCAGAACCAGUCCUGGGACCACUAAAUACUGGCUUUGAAGAAAAAUGCAAGCUUACACCUACCCUAUCCUUAUCUGUGUCCCUAUUUUCACUCCCAAACUCUAAUCCCACCUCCUACUCUCUCCUGAAGGAGGGCAUCAUCCUGAGGGCAAUAGCCCUCUGUGAACCUCCUUUGCCUGGCAAAGUGAUGAAAGCUACUCAUUUCUACUUAGCCCAAAACUCUGUCUCCAUGUUUCUAUUUGGCUCUGGGGGAUAGACGCUGAGUUUUGGCAGCAAACUCACAGAGAUAAAGCAAGUCAGUCUCAAAUACAGCAUAUUCAUUGAGAUUAUCAUUUUAACUUUGAUGACAGAGUGAUAAUUUGAUUUUAAAACUUCAGGCAGGUUCAAGAUGCAUUUCUACUGUGGUACAACUUCAGGGAAGUUGAGUCAUGAAAACAGCCUGUGGAAGCAAAGAAAGGUCUGAGCUUUAGAAGCUUGAUGCAAUAAAGCAUAAAGUAAGCAGGACAGUGUGUGCUUGUUGACCCUGCCCUCCAUCUGCUCAGGUCACCUGCCUGCUCACCCAGCAAUGCUCUUGUCUGUUCAGCUGGUUCACCUGUGCUCACCUGUGGCUCCCUCACAGUGACCCUUUGUGUUUUUCCAUUUACCAUGCAUGGUCAUCCUCAUGCCAUUUCCAAGGGCUCCUGGAUGUAACUCUGAUCCCCUGGGCUCCUGAUGAUAGAGAUGGAGUAAGAUAGUUAUACAGGUAGUUGUAGAAGUCCUUGUAGGGGACCAUAGAUGGAGAAGGAAACUUAGGAGACUUUGGGAGACCUCUAUAAGAUAAUAACCACUCAAGAAAGCUAUCAGAAUGAAGCAGGCUUGCAUGAGAUUUGCCUCAGUUCCUUGAGUGAAAGAUAAAAUGAGGCCUGUAUUCAAGUUCAGCAAGAUAAUGACCCUUAGGACCAAGGACAGGAAUUUAAGGCAAAGAUGACAUUCCAAAGUAGGAGACCUUCAGAAACCUGAGAUGAUUCAACAUAUUUCAGUGUAUGUCACCACCCUUCUGCUGGUCUAAAUAAGAACCAGGAUACUCCUAGUUUGACUCUCAGGGUCAAAUACUCUCUUACAGGAUAUCAAGGAGGUGCUAGUGAUGUAAGCCUUAUGUCUACUUCACAAUAGAGAAAGAGGCAGUCUUUUUCCACUCCCCACUUUCUUCAAGUUAUAAAAAUGCAGCCCACCUAAUUCUCAAGGCAGAGCCUCCUUGCCUGCCUGCUUGCAUCUCUCACAAGCAUCCUAUCUUAAAAAAUCUAUUUCUUGCCUAUCACUCUGUCUCUCGCUGACUUCCUUCUGUGCUCAGGCACAAAGAACCUGCAUCUCAGUAAGUCCAGACGUGGGUGAAUAAUUCUAAUUUAAAAAUUGUGGGUGCAAGUUCCAAUCUGGGUUCUGGCUGGUUCAAGACAUAAGUAUUGUCAGUUUCACUGGCACUGGACCACACACACAUCUCCUGUGGGAUCUUUCCCACUACCUGACUCCUAGGACCAACUGUGUUCUUCCAGGUCUGGCAAUUUUGUGAAAGAUGUCUUGGUUCCUGCCUCCCCUUCUCUGUUGUAGGUUUUCCACUUGAACAAAGGGCUACACUUUGGUUUUCCAGCCAGACUUCACAGAGUCCUGAAGUUCCAGAUAGGUGACCCCC